CAUGGCGGCUAUGGUUUGAACAUCUAGAAGUACGGCUGGAAGUCAUCACAUGCAUCUCUUCAGCAAUUAAGCCCCUUUUAAAGACGUCGCUGAAAAACAAACUUGGAAACUUUCAAACACUUCAAAGCAAAGAUGGACCCGAUUGCUUCAGUUGCACCACCAAAUGGAUCUCAUUGCAAAGCAACUUGAGCAAAUUAGACGGUGUCAUCAACUGUCUCCUGCCAUUCUCCCUUGAUAGAUAUUGUAGGCCAUCUAAAACUUCUAGACCUGGAGUAUAUAAUAAGCUGGGGUCGGGGCGGGUUUAAUACACUGGGUCGGGCGGGUUUAAUUAAUCGAAUGAGUGAGUUAUCUGAUCCAAUGGUUU
RNAcentral lists this long non-coding RNA (364 nucleotides) under Nicotiana benthamiana. Its description in RNAcentral is "long non-coding RNA (NBEN_LNC003621)". The record is from RNAcentral. Lineage: Eukaryota; Viridiplantae; Streptophyta; Magnoliopsida; Solanales; Solanaceae.